GAGAAUCAACACAUGGUGACGACAGACUGCCGCGGAAAGUCCUGGCCAAUGUGUGUGUGUGGAAGAGGAGUGUCCUUUGCUAUUUAGUCUACCUUUGAGAACACUGUUGUACUCUGAGUCUCUUCUGUUCUGACUCUCACUCAGCACAGCUCACUCCUCCCUCGUCUGUCCACAAGGAGUCUUUAAGUAUCACCUGCUGCAACAAUGUCGAAAGAUGUACCACGCGAGCCAGAGCAGCUUCGCAAGCUGUUCAUUGGAGGUCUGAGCUUCGAGACUACAGAUGAAAGCCUGAGGGCUCAUUUUGAGCAAUGGGGGAGCCUUACAGACUGUGUGGUCAUGAGGGACCCCAAUUCCAAAAGGUCCAGGGGCUUUGGCUUUGUUACAUACUCCUCCGUUGAUGAGGUUGAUGCUGCAAUGACUGCCCGACCCCACAAGGUUGAUGGAAGAGUGGUUGAACCCAAACGGGCUGUUUCCAGAGAGGACUCAAACCGACCAGGAGCCCAUGUGACGGUAAAAAAGAUAUUUGUUGGUGGCAUCAAAGAAGACACAGAGGAGUCCCACCUGAGAGAUUACUUUUCUCAGUUUGGCAAAAUCGAGGUCAUUGAUAUCAUGACCGACCGUAACUCUGGAAAGAAGAGGGGCUUUGCCUUUGUGACGUUUGAUGAUCAUGAUUCAGUUGACAGGAUUGUUAUCCAAAAAUACCACACUAUCAACUCUCACAACUGUGAAGUGAGGAAGGCUCUCACGAGGCAAGAGAUGCAGACAGCAGGAAUGGGUCGCAGCAGCAGUGGAGGAGGCGGAGGUGGAAGGCCCUAUGACUAUGACAGAGGCUUCAGCCCGAGUGGUAGGGGUCGCUAUGGUGAUGGUCCUUACAAUUCCAACGGUGGUGGUGGUGCCAACGAUGGUGGUGGCGGCGGCGGCGGCAGUGGGGGUGGAUAUGGAGGUGGGCCAGGCGGAUACAACAAUGGUGGAAACCGAGGGUAUAACCAAGGAGGUUACAACCAGGGUGGUGGUGGUGGUAGUAGUGGUGGAGGAGGAGGAGGAGGAGGCGGUGGUAGUGGAGGUGGUGGCUAUGGAGGAAAUGGUUAUGAGAGCAAUGGCUAUGGUAACUGUGGUGGUGGUGGUGGUAGUAGCGGAGGUGGAGGUGGUGGUGGAAAUAAUUACAACAAUAUGGGCAACUACGACUCCCAGGCCUCCAACUUUGGCCCAAUGAAAAACAACUUUAGUGGUGGUGGCGGUGGUGGCGGCAGUGUUGGAGGAGGAGGAGGAGGAGGAGGAGGAAGGAGCUUUGGCGGUGGCUAUGGAGGUGGCUCAAACAACAACGGUGGUGGAUAUGGUCGUUCGGCACGAUUCUGAAUGUGAAGUGGACUGAGUACUUAGGAGAGGAGAGGAGAGCAAGGAGAGGAGAGCGAGAGAAGUGACAGGGCAGCUGCAGGUUUACGUCCUAAAUCUGCUCAGCCAAACAAUUGUGGCAGGUUACUGCUGCUGCAAGAAGAGAUGUACAGUAGAUAAAUCAUGGAGGGUCUUCACUUAUACGUUUUUGUGUUUUUAUUUUUUAAUCGAAAUGUGUAUCUGGAAAGAAAGCAUUCCAAUGAGAUUUUAUGUAGAUUUCUUUUUCUUUGAGUCUGGUUUUAUUUGUAUCUGCAUCAAAUCAAGCUGAAAUAAAGCAUCUUUCAGUUUUUUACAAAGUGUUGUUAGCCUCUUCAGUGGUCUGGGAAAGGGAGGGUUGACUAUUACUGUACACUGUGGGAUGAGGGACAUCAUUUGCAUAUGUGAGGAGCCAAGAAAUAUCCAUGUGAUGUGAGAAGACCUGCAAUAGUAACUACAUACACCAUAAGUCAAUGUGAAGGGAACAUCUACAAUUGUGGUUGAGGAAUGAGAGGUGGUGCACAAAAUACUUCGUCAUAAAGAGCCCAUCACCUGGUACAGACUACCCUGAGUUCUGCAAAGAUCAACUGGAGGAUGCUAGCUUACAUGCAAAGUCUUUGAGGCUAGUCAUGGAAGCCAGCUGAGGGAGAGAAGUAGCAAAACCAUCGCCAGGAUCAUUGAAGCAGGGGAGAGUGAGAACAGAAGCCUGAGGCUAGCAUGCAGCAGCUACCAAAAGGCAUAAGUGCUGUCUGUAGGUAAGACCAGACUUCUCAACUACUGAUAGUAUGUAUUGCUAUUGUGUAGCUGGUAGUAAGUUACGUAGCCCAGUAAUGACAAUAUAUUUGUGCAAAAAAAACUUUAUUAUGACUUCACCAAUAACGCCUUCUAGUUGUGCAAAGAGGCCGUACAAAUAUGCAUGCUGUGAACAACAUUUAAUAAUUUGUUUUCUUUGGUUGCCAGAUUGUUAUACUUAAUUGGUAUUUCUGCUUUAUAGGAAACUCAACAUGGUGUCCAAAACCCGAUUCCAUUUCUGUGACAAUGGCUCAAUUCAGGCUUCCUGAAUAAUCAUGCUGGAGACUUGUUUUUUUUACACUGAAGACUGCUGUGCAGUGUUUUUAAAUAAAGUAUUUUUAUAAGA
Gymnodraco acuticeps is the source of this 2506-nucleotide RNA transcript. It is a transcript of the gene named heterogeneous nuclear ribonucleoprotein A1-like, with no coding region annotated. Lineage: Eukaryota; Metazoa; Chordata; Actinopteri; Perciformes; Bathydraconidae. The record is from RefSeq and is a predicted model, not a curated record. The transcript is spliced from 12 exons.